Long non-coding RNA from Populus trichocarpa (black cottonwood), 2528 nucleotides. RefSeq lists it as uncharacterized. The transcript has 4 exons. NCBI's taxonomy places the organism in Eukaryota, Viridiplantae, Streptophyta, Magnoliopsida, Malpighiales, Salicaceae. The record is from RefSeq and is a predicted model, not a curated record.
UGAAACUAGCCAUUUCCAGGACACAAACGGAGCCGUUUCAAAAAACUAUUCAUCGCCUUCUUUUUCAGGAACCGUUUCAGCAGUAAAGGCACUAAAACCGUUUCAGUCAUGGCGCACGUCUCCUGGCUGCUAUCCCUCGCCCCCACAAUGCAUACCGUUACCAAGCCACGACCGCAUGGCAUUCUCUGGCCUUAUACAGAGAAAGGCCACAAACCAGAGGGGGGCAAAGAAAAAAGGACGCAAACGCCAGAAGAGAAGAUCAAGGGACAGAGGACGAAAAAAAACAGAGAAUUUAGACCGGAAAACCAGAGGAGGAAGAAGACAGAGAGAACUGGGGAGAGCAUAAGACCGAGAACAAAACACACACAGACGCGAAGGAACAAACACAGGGGAGAAAAACCAGAAAACACAGAGGAACAUAAAACAGAGGGAGACAGGGAAUCAAGGAGAACAGACAGAUGAACCACACCAGCAACAAAAUCAAAAGAAAGCCAGAGAACAAGAAAGAAAAGACUAGAGGAAGGGAAAGCAAGAAGAGGCUAGUCGAUCAGCAACCGCACGCCUUCGCCUCUAGCCACCAGAAAUGCAAAUGCAGUAUUCGAUUCUAUGCCCACAAAAACAUCAAAUGUCAUAUGGGAGACUCGUAGUUUUGAAUGGUCAGCAAGAGAUUCUUUGGUCAUCAAAUGUUUCAGCUGGAGUUAAAGACUCAAUUGCACAGCUUACGGAUGAUGGAAACCUUGUCUUGCUCGGUAAAAACAAUGGAAAUGUUAUAUGGGAGAGUUUUCAGCGGCCUUGUAAUACACUCUUGCCAAAUAUGAGACUUGGUGCUAAUGCUAGAACUGGCGAGUCGACAGUACUAACAUCAUGUAUAAGCCCUUCUAAUCCAUCCGUCGGACGCUUCUCUGUUUCCAUGGAUCCCUUAAGAAUUCCCGAAGUAUUUGUGUGGAACUAUAAGAGUCCAUUUUGGCGGAGUGGUCCAUGGAAUGGUCAGAUCUUUAUUGGGAUUCCUGAGAUGAACUCUGUUUAUCUGGAUGGAUUUAAUCUUGCAAAAACUGCAGAUGGAGCCGUGUCUCUAAGUUUCACUUAUGUAAAUCAGCCUAAUAGCAAUUUUGUUUUGCGUUCCGAUGGAAAAUUGAUAGAAAGAGCCUGGAAAGUGGGAACCAGGAUUGGAAUAAAUUAUGGAAAGUGUGGAGCAUUUGGAAGCUGUAAUGCUGUGAAUUCACCAAUCUGCAGCUGUUUGAGAGGGUUUGUUCCAAAAAAUCCAGAUGAAUGGAAUAAAGGAAACUGGACAAGUGGUUGCAUUAGGAGGACACCACUAGAAUGCACAGAAACACAAAAUAUAUGAGAAGUGAACCCAAAAGAUGGGUUCUUGAAGCUUGAGAUGAUCAAAGUACCAGACUUUGCAGAGUGGUCAUCUCUGUAUUCAGAACUAGAAUGCAGAAAUGAAUGCUUAAGUAAUUGUUCCUGAAUAGCUUAUUCAUAUUACAAGGGUAUUGGCUGCAUGUUGUGGACCAGAAGCUUAAUUGAUAUACAGAAGUUUUCCUAUGGUGGGGCAGAUCUUUACCUUCGCUUAGCAUAUUCAGAACUUGAUAAAAGGAAAAGCAUGAAGAUAGUUAUCAGAAUAACAGUGAUUUUCGAACAAUUGCCUUUUCAAUCUGUGCAUUUCUUUCAUGGAGGUGCAUGGUUAAACAUGGAGAAAGGAAGAGGAAGAGCAAAAGGAACAGUGGGGGCAAAGUUAAACUCCGGGAACUACCAGCUGUAUUCAGUUUACAUCCACCGGAGCAGUCCAUGUUAUUAAAAAUAGAAAAAGGUUACAAUACACACAUAUAUGGAGGAGGAAGAUCACAUUCACUCAACUCAACUCCCAUUACCCAUUGCUGCACUUGCAGCUGCUGCACAAGGCAGCCGGGCUGCUGCCCUUGGCAGCCCUUUUUUCUUUCUCUCUUCUCACAUAUUUCUCUCAAUUCUGCUUUUAUUUAUAGACUUCAAUGGCAGCAUUUCCUGUUUUUUUGUCAACAAUGGUGGCCAUUCUUUAUCAAUGGUUGGUGCAAAUUCUUUGAUAAUCCCAAGCUGCCACCAAUAACCCAUCAUUGUAGUCUAUUUCUUUAACAAUGACAGUCAUCUUCUUCUAGAGGAUGGGCUCCAUAUGCUGCCACAUAAGUGGCAAUAUCCUAACACGAGUACGUACUAUCUGAUCCAUGUUUUCAAGAUGAAGUUUAUAGAAGCAUGCAUGUAGGUCUUUUGUGUGUUCAAGAGUUUGCAAAAGAUAGGCCAGCUGUGCCUACAAUCACUUCAAUGCUUCACAGCGAAAUUGUGGAUCUUCCUGCUCCCAAGAAACCUGCACUUGGUUUCGAAAUGGACUCCCUUCAAUGGAGCCAAACGAUAUGUUCUAAUGACAUAUCAUUUACUGUUAUUGGAGGGCGAUAGGUAACGAGUUUGAGGCAAUAUUUUUCUGUUACAUGUAAAUCUAGAUCACUUAUGUAAAAUUUCAAAAUGUUAAAUGCUUCCCUUAUGGAUCAGUUUGAGCA